CGGUCCCCCGGACUGACGGCCAGCCGACCCUGCGGACAGACGGGCCACAAAGCAUGUCGCCCUGCGCCUGCUGAACCGCGAGCGCCCGAGGAUGUCAGCGCUGAGGAAGGUCUGUAUGAGCUGUUGGCUGUUGUGCCAGGCCGGCUGGGGCCACGUGUGGACAGCCAGGAAGACCUGACCUUCCUCUGGGAUAUGUUUGGUGAGAAAAGCCUGCAUUCACCGGUAAAGAAGUUACUCGUCGAGCACCAUUUUCCUUUAGAUCUUCACAAUAUCCUGGGUAGCCUUAGGUUGUGAGGUGGAAGUCUCUACUCUUCUGUGGGUAAGUUUAUGAAAGACUGAAGUUCGUUUGUCCUUUAGCAGAACUGACUUGUUGGGUUCCUUGGGCCUGGAUG
This 392-nucleotide long non-coding RNA is filed under the name Canis lupus familiaris (dog). Its description in RNAcentral is "lncRNA (ENSCAFG00845022935.1)". Lineage: Eukaryota; Metazoa; Chordata; Mammalia; Carnivora; Canidae. The record is from RNAcentral.